Molecule: ribosomal RNA, 361 nt
Filed under: uncultured bacterium
Lineage: Bacteria
Description: bacterial SSU rRNA
Rfam family: Bacterial small subunit ribosomal RNA
Source: RNAcentral
AACGAACGCUGGCGGCAGGCCUAACACAUGCAAGUCGAACGCCGUAGCAAUACGGAGUGGCAGACGGGUGAGUAACACGUGGGAACAUACCCUUCGGUUCGGAAUAACUCAGGGAAACUUGAGCUAAUACCGGAUACGUCCGCGAGGAGAAAGAUUCAUCGCCGGAGGAUUGGCCCGCGUCUGAUUAGCUUGUUGGUGAGGUAACGGCUCACCAAGGCGACGAUCAGUAGCGGUCUGAGAGGAUGAUCAGCCACAUUGGGACUGAGACACGGCCCAAACUCCUACGGGAGGCAGCAGGUGGGGAAGUAUUGGGACAAUGGGCGGCAAGCCUGAUCCAGCCAUGCCGCGUGAGUGAUGAAGG